GCCGAGAUAGCUCAGCUGGAAGAGCGCUCAGCAUGCAAUCGAGAAAUGGGCGGUUCGAUGCCCCCUCUCGGCU
Cymbomonas tetramitiformis is the source of this 73-nucleotide non-coding RNA. The record is from the annotation of a GenBank genome assembly. Lineage: Eukaryota; Viridiplantae; Chlorophyta; Pyramimonadophyceae; Pyramimonadales; Pyramimonadaceae.